RNAcentral lists this ribosomal RNA (460 nucleotides) under uncultured bacterium. Its description in RNAcentral is "partial 16S ribosomal RNA". It matches the Rfam family "Bacterial small subunit ribosomal RNA", at positions 338 to 795 of the family's 1533-position model. The record is from RNAcentral.
CCUACGGGAGGCAGCAGUGAGGAAUAUUGGUCAAUGGACGAGAGUCUGAACCAGCCAAGUAGCGUGAAGGAUGACUGCCCUAUGGGUUGUAAACUUCUUUUAUAUGGGAAUAAAACGUUCCACGUGUGGGAUUUUGUAUGUACCAUAUGAAUAAGGAUCGGCUAACUACGUGCCAGCAGCCGCGGUAAUACGGAGGAUCCGAGCGUUAUCCGGAUUUAUUGGGUUUAAAGGGAGCGUAGGUGGAUUGUUAAGUCAGUUGUGAAAGUUUGCGGCUCAACCGUAAAAUUGCAGUUGAAACUGGCAGUCUUGAGUACAGUAGAGGUGGGCGGAAUUCGUGGUGUAGCGGUGAAAUGCUUAGAUAUCACGAAGAACUCCGAUUGCGAAGGCAGUUCACUGGACUGCAACUGACACUGAGGCUCGAAAGUGUGGGUAUCAAACAGGAUUAGAUACCCUAGUAGUC